CAGGCGGAAACACGUCACUGCGGGACCGCUGCGAGCGACGCACACAGCGCGAGGCCCGAGCCGGUUCCGUUAAAACCGUUGGGAAUCAGUCCCGGCGCGCGGCCGUUAAAGAAAAGUGUUCCUGACGUGAGACAGUCGGAAAGGGCAGGUGUGAAGGGGAGAAGUCAAACAGUGAGGAAGAUUUGAGAAUCGGGAAAUGUCGAUGGGAGAUGGAGGAAGAGACAUCACCUAAGUUUGCACUUUAUCCCGUUGUGAUGCGGUUUGAACGGCAUCGUCUGGAUGAAAGAUCUGUUUCAGACCAGGAGAUUUUAUCAAAAUUAUACAUCAAUAUGGGCACACAUUACAUCAACAAGAUGUGACAACAAGAACGGGAGAGAGGGGAGAGAGAGAGAGCAAAAACAAAUGGAUGGCGGGCAUCACUGAAUCGUGGCUGACAAAAGUUUAUAGUUGGGUGCUUAAAUCCAAGGAUAAAUAUUGAAUCGAAAGGAUACGCAGACAGCGCCAAUGAACCCCAACGAGAACAGAGUUACUCACUGGUGUAACACACUUGAUUUUCUAAUACCACUCAUGGCUGAAUAUGUCAGAUCUAGGACAAGACGAUCACUGUUUGUGAGCUCCAAAGAGAGUGACCUGAAAUGGUUCUCUGACGCUGCCAAUCUUGUCAUUUCGUCAUACUGGAAUAUACCCGUCCUAUACUCGGUGCAGAUGGAUUAUAAACACACUCCCUAUGUCAGAUGUGGACGCCAGAGUUACGAAGAAUGAACAGCUCUGAUGGGCAGAAGGGUGCAGAGUUGCCCAUGACCCCCCCCCCCUUGGAGAAUCACAAACCGUUACUGUUGCUAUCCUGCUAAUGAGAGAGAGAGAGAUGUAAGAGAAAACAUGCUAAAAUUGGAACAUCUGCUACAGAUAAGAGAGAUAAAGCAGGGGAGUGAACUUGUUGAUCUACCAUAUUAUGACUUCUGAAAAACUUAUGGGUUCUGAGAGUGUUGUUCACCUUGUACCAUCCUGUUCAUUAAAAUUCCUCAGUGGACUGCCGCAGUGGGCUGGUUUGAUGGACACAGUCAUUCAAAAUUGAUGGACAACUGAGACCACGUGAGUAAGGAUAAAAGUGAGUUCUGGGGAGACACCCCUCAGGCACACCAGGAGAAAAACUAUUGAGCGCUGCUUGAGUGUUGGAAUCCACGUGAAGGUGUGGGGCAUCGGAGACCGAACAAAGGAUCGGUCAGUUUAACCCACAGCUUUAUAGCAGGGCCGGUGGGGGCUUGUGUGUGUGUCCACUCAUGCCAGAGUGACGAGUCCACCACAGGAGAACGAUCUAGCUGAAGGACAGAGGGGUGAUACCUGAAUGGCCACAACACAUCGACGGAUCAAGAACGUAAAGGAAGGUUUGCCUGCCUGUAGUUGUUACAUCUUGCUCUCUCUCUCUCUCCAACAAUUACAACACAACGACCAACAUCUACCUCAGCAUGUGUGAA
Hypanus sabinus (Atlantic stingray) is the source of this 1475-nucleotide long non-coding RNA. RefSeq lists it as uncharacterized. NCBI's taxonomy places the organism in Eukaryota, Metazoa, Chordata, Chondrichthyes, Myliobatiformes, Dasyatidae. The record is from RefSeq and is a predicted model, not a curated record. The transcript has 7 exons.